AUGGUUAAGUUAGAAAGGGCGCACGGUGGAUGCCUUGGCACUAGGAGCCGAUGAAGGACGGGACGAACACCGAUAUGCUUCGGGGAGCUGUAAGCAAGCUUUGAUCCGGAGAUUUCCGAAUGGGGAAACCCACUGCUCGUAAUGGAGUAGUAUCCAUACUUGAAUACAUAGAGUAUGAGAAGGCAUACCCGGGGAACUGAAACAUCAGGACCAUCUCCCAAGGCUAAAUACUCCCUAGUGACCGAUAGUGAACCAGUACCGUGAGGGAAAGGUGAAAAGCACCCCGGAAGGGGAGUGAAAUAGAUCCUGAAACCGUGUGCCUACAAGUAGUCAGAGCCCGUUAAAGGGUGAUGGCGUGCCUUUUGUAGAAUGAACCGGCGAGUUACGAUCCCGUGCAAGGUUAAGCAGAAGAUGCGGAGCCGCAGCGAAAGCGAGUCUGAAUAGGGCGCAUGAGUACGUGGUCGUAGACCCGAAACCAGGUGAUCUACCCAUGUCCAGGGUGAAGUUCAGGUAACACUGAAUGGAGGCCCGAACCCACGCACGUUGAAAAGUGCGGGGAUGAGGUGUGGGUAGGGGUGAAAUGCCAAUCGAACCUGGAGAUAGCUGGUUCUCUCCGAAAUAGCUUUAGGGCUAGCCUCAAGGUAAGAGUCUCGGAGGUAGAGCACUGAUUGGACUAGGGGCCCCUACCGGGUUACCGAAUUCAGUCAAACUCCGAAUGCCGAUGACUUAUCCUUGGGAGUCAGACUGCGAGUGAUAAGAUCCGUAGUCGAAAGGGAAACAGCCCAGACCGCCAGCUAAGGUCCCAAAGUAUACGUUAAGUGGAAAAGGAUGUGGAGUUGCUUAGACAACCAGGAUGUUGGCUUAGAAGCAGCCACCAUUUAAAGAGUGCGUAAUAGCUCACUGGUCGAGUGACUCUGCGCCGAAAAUGUACCGGGGCUAAACGUAUCACCGAAGCUGCGGACUGUUCUUACGAACAGUGGUAGGAGAGCGUUCUAAGUGCUGUGAAGUCAGACCGGAAGGACUGGUGGAGCGCUUAGAAGUGAGAAUGCCGGUAUGAGUAGCGAAAGACGGGUGAGAAUCCCGUCCACCGAAUGCCUAAGGUUUCCUGAGGAAGGCUCGUCCGCUCAGGGUUAGUCGGGACCUAAGCCGAGGCCGAAAGGCGUAGGCGAUGGACAACAGGUUGAUAUUCCUGUACCACCUCCUCACCAUUUGAGCAAUGGGGGGACGCAGGAGGAUAGGGUAAGCGCGGUAUUGGAUAUCCGCGUCCAAGCAGUUAGGCUGGGAAAUAGGCAAAUCCGUUUCCCGUGAAGGCUGAGCUGUGAUGGCGAGCGAAAUUUAGUAGCGAAGUUCCUGAUUCCACACUGCCAAGAAAAGCCUCUAGCGAGGUGAGAGGUGCCCGUACCGCAAACCGACACAGGUAGGCGAGGAGAGAAUCCUAAGGUGAUCGAGAGAACUCUCGUUAAGGAACUCGGCAAAAUGACCCCGUAACUUCGGGAGAAGGGGUGCUUCUUAGGGUGUUAAAGCCCCGAGAAGCCGCAGUGAAUAGGCCCAGGCGACUGUUUAGCAAAAACACAGGUCUCUGCGAAGCCGUAAGGCGAAGUAUAGGGGCUGACGCCUGCCCGGUGCUGGAAGGUUAAGAGGAGCGCUUAGCGUAAGCGAAGGUGCGAAUUGAAGCCCCAGUAAACGGCGGCCGUAACUAUAACGGUCCUAAGGUAGCGAAAUUCCUUGUCGGGUAAGUUCCGACCCGCACGAAAGGCGCAACGAUCUGGGCACUGUCUCAACGAGAGACUCGGUGAAAUUAUAGUACCUGUGAAGAUGCAGGUUACCCGCGACAGGACGGAAAGACCCCGUGGAGCUUUACUGCAGCCUGAUAUUGAAUGUUGGUACAGCUUGUACAGGAUAGGUAGGAGCCUUGGAAACCGGAGCGCUAGCUUCGGUGGAGGCAUCGGUGGGAUACUACCCUGGCUGUAUUGACCUUCUAACCCGCUGCCCUUAUCGGGCAGGGAGACAGUGUCAGGUGGGCAGUUUGACUGGGGCGGUCGCCUCCUAAAAUGUAACGGAGGCGCCCAAAGGUUCCCUCAGAAUGGUUGGAAAUCAUUCGCAGAGUGUAAAGGCACAAGGGAGCUUGACUGCGAGACCUACAAGUCGAGCAGGGACGAAAGUCGGGCUUAGUGAUCCGGUGGUUCCGCAUGGAAGGGCCAUCGCUCAACGGAUAAAAGCUACCCCGGGGAUAACAGGCUUAUCUCCCCCAAGAGUCCACAUCGACGGGGAGGUUUGGCACCUCGAUGUCGGCUCAUCGCAUCCUGGGGCUGUAGUCGGUCCCAAGGGUUGGGCUGUUCGCCCAUUAAAGCGGUACGCGAGCUGGGUUCAGAACGUCGUGAGACAGUUCGGUCCCUAUCCGUCGCGGGCGCAGGAAAUUUGAGAGGAGCUGUCCUUAGUACGAGAGGACCGGGAUGGACGCACCGCUGGUGUACCAGUUGUUCUGCCAAGGGCAUCGCUGGGUAGCUAUGUGCGGACGGGAUAAGUGCUGAAAGCAUCUAAGCAUGAAGCCCCCCUCAAGAUGAGAUUUCCCAUUCCGCAAGGAAGUAAGAUCCCUGAAAGAUGAUCAGGUUGAUAGGUCUGAGGUGGAAGCGUGGUGACACGUGGAGCUGACAGAUACUAAUAGAUCGAGGACUUAACCUAUA
This 2684-nucleotide ribosomal RNA is filed under the name Bacillus pumilus. Its description in RNAcentral is "bacterial LSU rRNA". It matches the Rfam family "Bacterial large subunit ribosomal RNA". Lineage: Bacteria; Bacillati; Bacillota; Bacilli; Caryophanales; Bacillaceae. The record is from RNAcentral.